GCCAGGCAUGUGGCGGGUGCCUGUAGUCCCAGCUACUCUGGAGGCUGAGGUGGGAGGAUCACUUGAGCCCAGGAGUUCGAGGCUGCAGUGGGCCAUGAUCAUGCCACUGUGCUCGCUCUGGCCUGGAUGACAGAGUGAGACCCCAUCUCUU
Nomascus leucogenys (northern white-cheeked gibbon) is the source of this 151-nucleotide non-coding RNA. It matches the Rfam family "Metazoan signal recognition particle RNA". From Rfam's summary of the family: The signal recognition particle (SRP) is a universally conserved ribonucleoprotein. It is involved in the co-translational targeting of proteins to membranes. The record is from Rfam. Lineage: Eukaryota; Metazoa; Chordata; Mammalia; Primates; Hylobatidae.